GCAAAGUAUCAUAAACACAAGUAAACAAAGAUGGAUUAAUAGCAAAUGAGGUAUAUAUGCUUGGACACAAUCAAGAACACAAUGGGAAAACAAAAAAUCUUACUUAAAUAACUUAAGUUUGCAUUUGGAUUGAUAAUCAAUUGUAAUAGAGGGAUUUGAAUUUUAUACAUUAACUUCAGGUUUUAUAAAAUAUAUAGAAUUUCUUUGAUUAGGUGGGCUCACCAAAUGCAUAAAUAAAAUUAUAGUUUUUGUUAUGCAAUUUUUUAAGACAUUUAUCACGUUGCAACAAAAGCCAGGGGGAAACAAAAUCACCUUUGCCCCCUCAUUCUUCAAUCUAUAUGCCAGCUUUCCUGCAAAAGUAGAUAGGAGAUCAUCAUUUUUUUUCCCCAAUCCUUAACCUUGCCAACUGCCACGCUUCAAGGUAUCAAUUAAAAAAUCUAAGAUCCUCCUUUUUUGAAACAUUAAGUUCUGUCACCAACAUUAACAUCAAUUUUAAGAAAAUGACAAUCAAAAUGUAUAAUGGGAGGAAUCUUUUUUAACGUUUCCUUUCUGAAUAUUGAGGAAACCUCAGCUCUUGACGUGUUAAUAUCUCAAUCUCUUACCAAGAGACGUUGUCUUCCCACCUCCAUUGACGCCAACUAUCAUAACAACAGCCGGCUUCCUGCUAGCAUAAUAUGUACCGAUGCCAACUACAAAUUAAAGCCUAGCUUUGCUAACAAACAAGAAUUAAUAAUCAAAUAAGAGCAAAAAGGAGCAAAUUUGAGUAAAUGAGAUACCCAUAACCUGAAUCCAAGCUGAAGAUCAACCUUAUUUCCUUUCUUAAUUAACAAAUCAAGUACAAUCCUCUUCAAAGCAUCCUUAAUUUCGCUGCCUGAUUUGAGCUUCCCAGCUAGUAUAUCCUCCCUCAAGCUCUCCACAAUCUUAAUAGUGAUUCUUGGCCCAAAAUCAGAUACUAAUAGUACCUCCUCGAGUUCGUCGAGGACUCGGUCGGUCUCGGCGAGGUUCCAAUAGAGGAGGAGUUCGUCAAUAACGGCUAGGUUGUCUCUGGUUUUAGAGAAUCCUGAGAAGAUUUUCUCCACGUCGCUUUUGGCCUUCUCUUUUAUCAACCUGCCAAGUCGUGUGAAGAACCCGCUCUGGCUAGCCAGGCAUUUGAACCGU
RNAcentral lists this unclassified non-coding RNA (1158 nucleotides) under Hevea brasiliensis (rubber tree). Lineage: Eukaryota; Viridiplantae; Streptophyta; Magnoliopsida; Malpighiales; Euphorbiaceae. The record is from RNAcentral.